RNAcentral lists this ribosomal RNA (407 nucleotides) under uncultured bacterium. RNAcentral describes it as "bacterial SSU rRNA". It matches the Rfam family "Bacterial small subunit ribosomal RNA", at positions 355 to 776 of the family's 1533-position model. The record is from RNAcentral.
UGGGGGAUAUUGCACAAUGGGGGGAACCCUGAUGCAGCGACGCCGCGUGGGUGAAGGAGUACCUCGGUACGUAAAGCCCUAUCGGCAGGGAAGAAAGAAAUGACGGUACCUGACUAAGAAGCCCCGGCUAACUACGUGCCAGCAGCCGCGGUAAUACGUAGGGGGCAAGCGUUAUCCGGAUUUACUGGGUGUAAAGGGAGCGCAGGCGGCCGUGCAAGUCAGGAGUGAAAUACCGGGGCCCAACCCCGGGGCUGCUCUUGAGACUGCGUGGCUGGAGUGUCGGAGGGGCAGGCGGAAUUCCUAGUGUAGCGGUGAAAUGCGUAGAUAUUAGGAGGAACACCAGUGGCGAAGGCGGCCUGCUGGACGACGACUGACGCUGAGGCUCGAAAGCGUGGGGAGCAAACAGG